This 449-nucleotide ribosomal RNA is filed under the name Araneus diadematus (European garden spider). RNAcentral describes it as "partial 16S ribosomal RNA". It matches the Rfam family "Bacterial large subunit ribosomal RNA", at positions 1831 to 2601 of the family's 2925-position model. The record is from RNAcentral. Lineage: Eukaryota; Metazoa; Arthropoda; Arachnida; Araneae; Araneidae.
UUCUUACUGCUUUUAUUGUAAGUAACACCUGCUCAAUGAAUUUUAAAUAGCCGCGGAAAUUUAACCGUGCUAAGGUAGCAUAAUCAUUAGCCUCUUAAUUAGAGGCUUGUAUGAACGGUGAAACAUUUCAACUUCUUUAUUAAUUAAUUUUUUUUAAAUUUAAAUUAAGAAUAAAAAUGUUCUUAUAAAAAAAUUAGACAACAAGACCCUUUUGAACUUCACUUUUGUUUAACUGGGGCAGUUAAAAAAUAAAAAUCUUUUUUAAAUUCUUUUAAUAAAGGAACCAAUAUAAUUGAUUAUAUGAACAAGUUACCAUAGGGAUAACAGCGUAAUAUUUUUUUAAAGCUCUUAUUAAAAAAAAUGAUUACGACCUCGAUGUUGAAUUAGUGUAACUUUAUAGAUGCAGUAAUUUUAAAAGUAGGUCUGUUCGACCAUUAAAACACUAACGU